AUGUCAAGUUCAUCAUCGAGAACACCGACCUGGCGGUGGCCAAUUCGAUUCGGAGGGUCUUCAUCGCUGAGGUGCCCAUAAUAGGUAAGCGAUUCCCUUUCCUCGUUCCCGGGCCCACGGGUUCCUGCCCCGCUCUCCACCCACACUCCUUGGGGCUCCUUCCAGUCCUUGGUUCGGGCUGAGGGUGGUAGUGCUGAGAAAAGUGCAUUGCUGGAGACUUGACCAUACCCUGUGCCCUUGGCUCAGUGGCCGACUCCCUGGCGCCCACGGGCCACUUAGGUCCAUCCUUGUCCUGUGUAUGCAUUGCUGAGAAGCAUGGGUUUAGCAGUGUGCAGACUUGGGUUCAAAUACUGUUUUCACUACUAUUGUUACAAAAGUUUUUUAAAUGUUUUCAACUUUUGUUUUGGAGUCGGGGUACAUUGGUGCAGGUUUGUUGCCUGGGUAUAGUGCGUGAUGCUGAGGUUUGGGGUAUAAAUGAUCCUUUCACCCAGGUAGUGAGCAUAGUACCCAAUAG
Molecule: small RNA, 514 nt
Filed under: Pongo abelii (Sumatran orangutan)
Lineage: Eukaryota; Metazoa; Chordata; Mammalia; Primates; Hominidae
Description: retained intron
Source: RNAcentral